Molecule: long non-coding RNA, 2620 nt
Organism: Asterias rubens (European starfish)
Lineage: Eukaryota; Metazoa; Echinodermata; Asteroidea; Forcipulatida; Asteriidae
Exons: 6
Source: RefSeq, a predicted model, not a curated record
GCGCCAUUUUAUAACUGCGUAGAGGUUAGAAUCUGUGUGAUGUAGUUCUAAAUUUCACCAAGAAAAGAUGUGUUUAAACUACCAAGAUGCUUACAAAACGGGAUCUUCAUGUGCUUCUUGUUUGAUGAUGGGAUAUCAAGCAUUAUCAUUAGUGUGUCAAGACUCAAGGUCGGAUCUGCACUGAAGCUUGCAAGAAGAGGAAUGGAAUCAGGAAUUGAUGAGAACAUGACAUACUGAGAUGUGUGGGAAGAUGUUGUUGGCUGCUGAAAAGACUCAAACCCAUAAAGUACUAUGGAUGUUCUACUGUAGUGAAAUCUUUGCAAUCAUCCUGCAAUACAGACGAGGAAUUGAUGAGAACAUGACAUACUGAGAUGUGUGGGAAGAUGUUGUUGGCUGCUGAAAAGACUUAAACCUAUAAAAGACCAUGGAAGUUCUACUGUAGUGAGAUCUUUGCAAUCAUCCUGCAAUACAGACGAGGUCUACAAGAGCCAUUUGACCAGACAAGCAAGCACAUAAGAAAAUGAGAUGAUGAAAAGCCUCUUCAGUUGUUUUUGUUUUGCUAAGAUGUUUCCUGGCGAGAAGUACAUUGAUAACAUCUUCAAGGUUAUGGCUCCUGAAUUGACGACAAAGCUUGCAAAGGAUUGGAUCCACAUUGGGAGAGACUGAAAGAGAACAGGUUAGGAGGGGGACUCCAGGAAUGUGCUCCCAUUACAAUUUAAGCUUGAGGCAGACAUGGACAUAAGUCUUUGUUGGACCACGACACUGCACUCCCAAGAACUCAAUGCAUGCAUGAAGGACAUUCACCAAUUAGGCGACUGCAAACAAGACGAUGCUAAUUGCCACAAAAACAGUGGUUCAUCAUUUUUUGCAACAGCCACUCCCAGUCAUUUCCAUCACAGUUGGAGAUGUGCAGUUAAACUUCUCCAGAAGGUAGACAUCUCUGUGCAGUCAUGGAUGAACAUCUAUCACUGAAGGCCCAUGUCAACACCCUCAUGCUCCUCUUCAAUGACUGCCGUCCGAAAGAUGUUUUUUAUUUUAUUUAGAAAAUAUUGAUCCACACAAUAAUGUUGUACCUGGAAAUUGUUUGGUUUUUCUUUCACCAGCUUGUUGAAGCAAAUUCAUGACUUCUCAAAAUGUUGAACCGUUUUAGUUCAGAAAGUAAAUGGGAAAACCUCACAGUUUUGAAGUACAUUAGUUUAAAUAUCCACUACUUUUAGUCCACUACUUUCAAUUUUAUUCUGUCCAACCAGGUUCAUGUCAUAACAAACUCUUUCAUAGCCCAAAAACAUCAAAUCUAAAAGCGUGUCUCUAUAAUGUUCGGAUAAAAUAAAUGAAAUCAUUGAUUGUGAUUGAAAUGUUGAAGUUUGAGAUGUAAUGAAUUUUCAACAACACGGUUUUGAGCCUGACAAUUGAAUGCCUAAACACACCUAAAGGGACUCUUCACUUUUGGGUUGGGUUUUGGGCUUUAGAAAGUGCUUGCUAUGAAAUGGAUGUGGUUGGAAACAUGUUUUAAAAUUAGAAAAUAAUGAUCCACACUGAUACACAUGUACCUGGAAGUUGUUUGGUUUUCUUUUUAUACCCUCUUGCAGUAACACAGUCUGCCAUUUUGUUGAAGCAAAUUCUGGACUCCUUAAAAUGGCAGACUAUUUCAGUUCACAAAGUAAAUGGAGUUUAUGACUCCACAAAACACAAAGUAAAAGGAAAACCACACAGUUUUGAAACACCUUAGUGUAAAUAAUUAUACCCUACUUUCAAAAUAUGUUGCCAACCAGAUAAUAUCCAAAAAUGUUGAAUUACCUCACAUGCUUUAUGUUGGCUAUUUUUGGCUUUAGAAAGUGCCUGCUAUGAAAAGAUGGUUGUAAAUAUGUUUCAAAUUUAUUGAUCCACACUUCCUGGAAAUUGUUUGGUCUUCUGUUUACCCUCUUGAUUGAGCAGAGUCUGCCAAUUCAAUUCAAACUUAAUGUUAUUUUGGUUGGAAACCUGUUUCUGUUAAGCAAUACUUUUCUGUGCUUAGCAAGUUGCUUUGCUUUCAGGCUUUAUUAAAUUGGGCCCAGAUUCAUGUCAUAACUGUAAUAAAUGCUUCCAUAGUCCAAAGCACCAAAUCUAAAAGCAAUGUGUCUCUUGAAGAAGGUUUUGAUGACAAUAAAGUGAUUGAAAUUGUUGAGAUGUGAUGAAUUUUCAACCAGGUUAGAUAAAAAGUACAUAACCUGACUUUUUAAUGUUGAAUUACCUCACAUGCCUAAAAGGGAAACGUCGCAUUCGGGUUGGGUGUUGUAGGCUUUAGAAAGUGCUUGCUGUGAAAUGGAUGUGGUUGGAAAUAUGUUUUAAAAUAAGAAAAUAAUUAUCCACACAGAUAUACAUGUACCUGGAAAUUGUUUUCUUUUUACACCCUCUAAAAGUACCACAUAUACAGUCUAUUUUGUUGAAGCAAAUUUUUGACUCCUUAAAAAUGGCGGACUAUUUUAGUUCACAAAGUAAUUGGAAAAACCUCAAAGUUUUGAGGCACGUUAGUGUAAAUAACUAAACAACAGUGUGAAACUAAAUUGUUUUUGGUUGGAAACCUGUUUCUGUUAAGCAAUACUUAUUUUUGUGCUUAGCAAGUUGUUUUGCUUUAAAGGCA